This is a long non-coding RNA of Myotis lucifugus (little brown bat), 684 nucleotides long. RefSeq lists it as uncharacterized. The record is from RefSeq and is a predicted model, not a curated record. The transcript has 5 exons. Lineage: Eukaryota; Metazoa; Chordata; Mammalia; Chiroptera; Vespertilionidae.
CUGCCUCUUGCACGCCCCCCACUGGGGAUCGAGCCCACAACCUGGGCAUGUGCUGUUACCUCCUGGUUCAUAAGUUGAUGCUCAGCCACUGAGCCAUACCCACUGGGCUGUAAGUGGGUUUUUCAGGUCACAGCCAAGGACAGAGGUCUCCUUGUUUCUGUGGCUCUGAGAAGCUGGUGCACCUUCCCUUGGCCAGCAGGACGUCUUCAAGGACAAGCACGGGUGUCAGCCAGUCUCCCCGUCUGCUCAGACCCAGGGCUCCGCACAGGAAAGAGACUGAUGGCCGCUUGUCACCUUCCAAGGCAAUAACUCCUGAUGUCUUCUGCUCCGGAGGAGAGGCAGGCGGGUGAUUGAGAAGACAGCCUUUAUCUCCACUCCACGUGCUCUGCAAGGAGUGGAUUCCACGCAGUUGGGCCUCCUCUGAGAUUUCCUGCUGGUUCUGGAAUGACCUUGGGCGUCGAGGCCGACCUUCAGUGCUUUGCCCACAGGGCGGAGUGGGGGCUCGGACCCCGGCCCUGCACACACUGAGCAAUACAGUGUCUGACUCGCAGAUGCCACCAAAAGGGCGCCAGCCGCAGAGAAGUGCACAAAGUGAGAAACGAAAGCGUCUCUUCCGCGCCGCCCGCCUCCCCGAGAUGCGGUCGCUGCCUCCCCAUCAGAAAAUCACCCCAAUUACCAUCACAG